GAUGAAGAACGUAGCGAAAUGCGAUAAGUAAUGUGAAUUGCAGAAUUCAGUGAAUCAUCGAAUCUUUGAACGCACAUUGCGCCCGCCAGCAUUCUGGCGGGCAUGCCUGUUCGAGCGUCAUUUCAACCCUCGCAGCCCAUCUGGGCAGCGGUGUUGGGGACCGGCACCACCGGCGAAGCCCUUAGGGACCCAGCCGGCGCCGCCCCCGAAAUACAGUGGCGGUCUCGCUGCAGCCUCCCUUGCGUAGUAGCACACCUCGCACCGGAGCGCAGCGCGGCCACGCCGUAAAACCCCCGACUUUCUGAGUUUGACCUCGAAUCAGGUAGGAAUGCCCGCUGAACUUAAGCAUAUCAAUAAGCGGAGGA
Molecule: unclassified non-coding RNA, 365 nt
Filed under: soil metagenome
Description: partial contains 5.8S ribosomal RNA, internal transcribed spacer 2, and large subunit ribosomal RNA
Rfam family: 5.8S ribosomal RNA (bases 1-120)
Source: RNAcentral